AGUGAACGCUGGCGGUAGGCCUAACACAUGCAAGUCGAACGGCAGCACAGUAAGAGCUUGCUCUUACGGGUGGCGAGUGGCGGACGGGUGAGGAAUACAUCGGAAUCUACUUUUUCGUGGGGGAUAACGUAGGGAAACUUACGCUAAUACCGCAUACGACCUACGGGUGAAAGCAGGGGAUCUUCGGACCUUGCGCGAUUGAAUGAGCCGAUGUCGGAUUAGCUAGUUGGCGGGGUAAAGGCCCACCAAGGCGACGAUCCGUAGCUGGUCUGAGAGGAUGAUCAGCCACACUGGAGCUGAGACACGGUCCAGACUCCUACGGGAGGCAGCAGUGGGGAAUAUUGGACAAUGGGCGCAAGCCUGAUCCAGCCAUACCGCGUGGGUGAAGAAGGCCUUCGGGUUGUGAAGCCCUUUUGUUGGGAAAGAAAAGCAGCAGGUUAAUACCCCGCUGUUCUGACGGUACCCAAAGAAUAAGCACCGGCUAACUUCGUG
Molecule: ribosomal RNA, 492 nt
Filed under: uncultured bacterium
Lineage: Bacteria
Description: partial 16S ribosomal RNA
Rfam family: Bacterial small subunit ribosomal RNA
Source: RNAcentral